GACGAACGCUGGCGGCGUGCCUAAUACAUGCAAGUCGAGCGAGCGGAACCAGCAGAUCUGCUUCGGCAGUGACGCUGGGAAAGCGAGCGGCGGAUGGGUGAGUAACACGUGGGGAACCUGCCCCAGAGUCUGGGAUACCACUUGGAAACAGGUGCUAAUACCGGAUAAGAAAGCAGAUCGCAUGAUCAGCUUUUAAAAGGCGGCGUAAGCUGUCGCUCAGGGAUGGCCCCGCGGUGCAUUAGCUAGUUGGCAAGGUAACGGCCUACCAAGGCAAUGAUGCAUAGCCGAGUUGAGAGACUGAUCGGCCACAUUGGGACUGAGACACGGCCCAAACUCCUACGGGAGGCAGCAGUAGGGAAUCUUCCACAAUGGACGCAAGUCUGAUGGAGCAACGCCGCGUGAGUGAAGAAGGUUUUCGGAUCGUAAAGCUCUGUUGUUGGUGAAGAAGGAUAGAGGUAGUAACUGGCCUUUAUUUGACGGUAAUCAACCAGAAAGUCACGGCUAACUACGUGCCAGCAGCCGCGGUAAUACGUAGGUGGCAAGCGUUGUCCGGAUUUAUUGGGCGUAAAGCGAGCGCAGGCGGAAAAAUAAGUCUAAUGUGAAAGCCCUCGGCUUAACCGAGGAAUUGCAUCGGAAACUGUUUUUCUUGAGUGCAGAAGAGGAGAGUGGAACUCCAUGUGUAGCGGUGGAAUGCGUAGAUAUAUGGAAGAACACCAGUGGCGAAGGCGGCUCUCUGGUCUGCAACUGACGCUGAGGCUCGAAAGCAUGGGUAGCGAACAGG
Molecule: ribosomal RNA, 781 nt
Filed under: uncultured Lactobacillus sp.
Lineage: Bacteria; Bacillati; Bacillota; Bacilli; Lactobacillales; Lactobacillaceae
Description: bacterial SSU rRNA
Rfam family: Bacterial small subunit ribosomal RNA
Source: RNAcentral